This 254-nucleotide ribosomal RNA is filed under the name uncultured bacterium. RNAcentral describes it as "partial 16S ribosomal RNA". It matches the Rfam family "Bacterial small subunit ribosomal RNA", at positions 524 to 776 of the family's 1533-position model. The record is from RNAcentral.
UACGGGGGGGGGUAAGCGUUGUUCGGAAUUACUGGGCGUAAAGGGCUCGUAGGCGGCCAACUAAGUCAGACGUGAAAUCCCUCAGCUUAACUGGGGAACUGCCUCUGAUACUGAGGAGCUCGAGUCCGGGAGAGGUGAGUGGAACUCCGAGUGUAGAGGUGAAAUUCGUAGAUAUUCGGAAGAACACCAGUGGCGAAGGCGGCUCACUGGCCCGGUACUGACGCUGAGGUGCGAAAGCGUGGGGAGCAAACAGG